AACUUAAACAGCUUUAGCUAGACCUGUUUCAGAGGUAGUCUAGCAAACGUGUUUAGGUUUAAAAUAUCACACGAUGCUAGCGUGCGCAUGGUCAAAGAUGGAUCCCAUGGCCAAUGCUCUUCUCUUCUUUUGCCUUCUCCUCUAUAUCAUUUGGAAGUUCGGUGAAGAAGACCGUCUCAGAGAGUGUUAUAGGCGACGGCAGGACGGAUAUGUGGAGUUUUACUUUAGAAGACAGCAAAGAAGAACUAACCACUUUUGGACGUUGACAAUUGGUGUACUAGCGGUGAUGGGAGUUCUUCUGGCUGUUGCAUUUGCAUUUCGAAAGUAACGGUGCUGUUGUGUUGCCAGCUCUAUUGGCGUGCAAUGCUGCUGCAGAAUUGUAUGGCCUGCAAAGGUGGUUUUCAUGCUACUUCUAUGUUGCAGCUACACAGUACUGUUACAGAACAUUAGUAGUUAGUAAAUUUCAUUGGUAAUUUGAACUUUACUAGAAUUAUUUGCAUUGUUGCCGAGCGUAGCGAGGCUUCUAAU
Molecule: long non-coding RNA, 528 nt
Organism: Corticium candelabrum
Lineage: Eukaryota; Metazoa; Porifera; Homoscleromorpha; Homosclerophorida; Plakinidae
Exons: 3
Source: RefSeq, a predicted model, not a curated record